RNAcentral lists this ribosomal RNA (21 nucleotides) under Purpureocillium lilacinum. RNAcentral's name for it is "partial 28S ribosomal RNA". Lineage: Eukaryota; Fungi; Ascomycota; Sordariomycetes; Hypocreales; Ophiocordycipitaceae. The record is from RNAcentral.
GACCUCGGAUCAGGUAGGAAU